UUAAUCUCUACUUUAUCUAGUAAAGUGAUAAAUUGGAUCUUGGUGCUAGUGUUCUUCAACCUCAAACUUCCAGAAUAGCAGCCUUCAUACUAAAGGAAUAACAACUUUAGCCUUAGGGUGCUGGACUUCCUCUAUCAUUUGCACCUUUCCAUCUAUUUGUUUUCUCUCCCAGUGCCCUUAGUCUUUGCCAUCAUCUCUUUUAUAUCUUUAUCAUAUACUAAGUAUAGUACUAGUAUUAAAAAAAGUGAUGCCUGUAUUGAACUUUAUACCAC
RNAcentral lists this long non-coding RNA (272 nucleotides) under Elaeis guineensis (African oil palm). RNAcentral's name for it is "long non-coding RNA (EGUI_LNC012661)". The record is from RNAcentral. Lineage: Eukaryota; Viridiplantae; Streptophyta; Magnoliopsida; Arecales; Arecaceae.